GUCUACAGCCAUACCACCCUGAACGCGCCCGAUCUCAUCUUAGGAAGCUAAGCAGGGUUGGGCCUGAUUAGUACUUGGAUGGGAGACAGUGCACAGCUGCUGAAACA
Molecule: ribosomal RNA, 107 nt
Organism: Nomascus leucogenys (northern white-cheeked gibbon)
Lineage: Eukaryota; Metazoa; Chordata; Mammalia; Primates; Hylobatidae
Source: Ensembl